GCGGGCAGAUGAAGUGCACGUGGCAGUCGAUGCCGCCGGCGGUGAGGAUCUUCCCGUUCCCGGACAACACCUCGGUCGCCGGUCCGAUCACCAGGUCCGGGUGGACCCCGUCCAUGGUGUCGGGGUUGCCGGCCUUGCCCAACGC
This 145-nucleotide non-coding RNA is filed under the name Geodermatophilus sp. Leaf369. Lineage: Bacteria; Bacillati; Actinomycetota; Actinomycetes; Geodermatophilales; Geodermatophilaceae. The record is from Rfam by way of RNAcentral.